CCGAGUGAGGGUCCUCGUGGCCCAACCUCCCACCCGUGAAUACAUUACCCUGUUGCUUCGGCGGGCCCGCCUCACGGCCGCCGGGGGGCUUCUGCCCCCGGGCCCGCGCCCGCCGGAGACCCCAACACGAACACUGUCUGAAAAUGCAGUCUGAGUUGAUUAUUUUAAUCAGUCA
Molecule: unclassified non-coding RNA, 175 nt
Filed under: uncultured Aspergillus
Lineage: Eukaryota; Fungi; Ascomycota; Eurotiomycetes; Eurotiales; Aspergillaceae
Description: sequence contains ITS1
Source: RNAcentral